UCAAAAAUCAUUAUUUGUUUGGAUUGUGUGAUGUUGUAAAUAAUUCGGAAUAUGUUAUCUCAAUUUUGAGGGGUUGUGGUGAAGAUUAGACUUGGUUUUGACUGGAUUUCACAUUGAAACUCUUCGAAGAAGAAGACAUAUUUUCAGAAAUUGUAGAUAAGUUGUAGAUAAAUUGUAGAUAAAUUGUAGAAAUGUAGAUAAAUUGUAGAUAAAUUAUAGAUUGGGAAGACUAAAACUU
Molecule: long non-coding RNA, 238 nt
Filed under: Nicotiana benthamiana
Lineage: Eukaryota; Viridiplantae; Streptophyta; Magnoliopsida; Solanales; Solanaceae
Description: long non-coding RNA (NBEN_LNC018618)
Source: RNAcentral